RNAcentral lists this ribosomal RNA (673 nucleotides) under uncultured Fusobacterium sp. RNAcentral describes it as "bacterial SSU rRNA". It matches the Rfam family "Bacterial small subunit ribosomal RNA", at positions 91 to 781 of the family's 1533-position model. Lineage: Bacteria; Fusobacteriati; Fusobacteriota; Fusobacteriia; Fusobacteriales; Fusobacteriaceae. The record is from RNAcentral.
UUGGGUGGCGGACGGGUGAGUAACGCGUAAAGAACUUGCCUCACAGUUUGGGACAACAUUUGGAAACGAAUGCUAAUACCGAAUAUUAUGAUCGAAUGGCAUCAUUUGAUUAUGAAAGCUAUAUGCGCUGUGAGAGAGCUUUGCGUCCCAUUAGCUAGUUGGAGAGGUAACGGCUCACCAAGGCGAUGAUGGGUAGCCGGCCUGAGAGGGUGAACGGCCACAAGGGGACUGAGACACGGCCCUUACUCCCACGGGAGGCAGCAGUGGGGAAUAUUGGACAAUGGACCAAAAGUCUGAUCCAGCAAUUCUGUGUGCACGAUGAAGUUUUUCGGAAUGUAAAGUGCUUUCAGUUGGGAAGAAGAAAGUGACGGUACCAACAGAAGAAGUGACGGCUAAAUACGUGCCAGCAGCCGCGGUAAUACGUAUGUCACAAGCGUUAUCCGGAUUUAUUGGGCGUAAAGCGCGUCUAGGCGGUUAAUUAAGUCUGAUGUGAAAAUGCGGAGCUCAACUCCGUAUUGCGUUGGAAACUGGUUAACUAGAGUACUGGAGAGGUAAGCAGAACUACAAGUGUAGAGGUGAAAUUGUAGAUAUUUGUAGGAAUGCCGAUGGGGAAGCCAGCUUACUGGACAGAUACUGACGUAAAGCGCGAAAGCGUGGGUAGCAACAGGAUUAG